GUCGGCAUCCUGGGUUCCGGAAGCCGGAGAGCUGGAGCUUUGAAGCCACCCCGGUCAAAGGAUGCUGAGUCCGGAGCGCCUAGCCCUACCGGACUACGAGUAUCUGGCUCAGCGACAUGUCCUCACCUACAUGGAGGAUGCAGUGUGCCAGCUGCUAGAAAACAGGGAAGAUAUUAGCCAAUAUGGAAUUGCCAGGUUCUUCACUGAAUAUUUUAACAGUGUAUGCCAGGGAACACACAUUCUCUUUCGAGAAUUCAGCUUCGUCCAAGCCACCCCCCACAAUAGGGUAUCAUUUUUACGGGCCUUCUGGAGAUGCUUCCGAACUGUGGGCAAAAAUGGCGGUAAGUCUUCCCAAAUUCUUUUUCCUUCCUUCCUUCCUUCCUUCCUUUCUUCCUUCCUUCCUUCCUUCUUCUCUCUCUCUUUCAAACUUUUUCUUUUGUUCCUAUAAAUAUUGUUUGAAUGCAUGCUAUUCAAGGCAUUUAGAAUACCUCACUUUUGAGGAGUUGUCUGGUUUAUGUCAAAGAUAUUACUAUUACCACUACCAUCACUAAUGGUACCUAUUAAGAGCCAAGUGUAGCUCUUUACAUGUAGUAACUCAUUUAUCUUUACAAGGGCUCUCUGUGGUAGAUACCAUAAUCCCCAUUUUGUAACUAAUGAAACUGAGGAUCAGAGAGGUUAAGUAACUUGGCAAGGUUACAUAGUAAAUUCUGGGCCCAGAUUUACACCCAGGCAGUCUGACUUCACAGCCCUUGCUCUUGGCAGAUAUUAAAAUGCCAUGCAGUAAAUACAAGGAAUAA
This 797-nucleotide small RNA is filed under the name Pan troglodytes (chimpanzee). RNAcentral's name for it is "retained intron". Lineage: Eukaryota; Metazoa; Chordata; Mammalia; Primates; Hominidae. The record is from RNAcentral.